AUGGAUUUCGGUUGCUUCCAGCCCCACGCGGGGAGCUGCGAUGACACGCCGCUUGAUUUCCAUGUGCAGCAGAGUGCCCACUAUGAUCUCCACUCCCUUGAUCGUUCGUUCGAGCCUGUCGGCGGAUCAAUUGGCCCCUUUGCGGCCUUCUAUCCUGACUACUACCCACAAGUUGCGACGACCAAGGCUGUCAUCGGCGAUGCUUCAUCAAUCGUUCAUAGUUCUGGACCUCACCUGCCUCUGCUGACGCCAAAACUUGAGGUUUCACAACUCAUAGGAGGCGGCCUUGGAUCGUACAAGACCUAUGAGAUGAGCCGCCGGUUUUUCCCAAGAAAGAAGGCCUCCAGUAAGGCUCUCAAGAGGGCUAAUGUUGUCAAGGGGCAAUGGACACUGGAAGAAGACAGGAAAUUGGUGAAGUUAGUGGAGCAGUUUGGACUGAGGAAAUGGUCUCAGAUAGCGCAAAUGUUGCCUGGAAGAGUUGGAAAGCAAUGCAGAGAAAGAUGGCACAACCAUUUGAGACCUAACAUCAAGAAAGAUACUUGGAGUGAGGAGGAAGACAUGGUUCUAAUACAAACACACAAGGAGGUUGGCAACAAAUGGGCAGAGAUAGCUAAGCGCCUGCCUGGGAGAACUGAAAACUCCAUAAAAAAUCAUUGGAAUGCAACCAAGAGAAGGCAGUUUGCACGGAGGCGGACCCGCACAAGCGCCAAGAAUCCCAAAUCUGGGACCCUUCUGCAGAACUACAUCAAAAGCCUUGGAAUUGGCUCUAGCAAGGUCACUGCUGCUCCACUAGCCCCAAAAGAACGUCCACUGUCACCAUCUUCACCAGCAUCCCCAACACAAAAUCUGGCACAGGUGAGUGACAGUUGGUCAGAAUCCAACCCAUCCAACAUAAUGGUCAGCGAAGGACUAUUCAGCACAGAUGACAGACAGGCUGACUCUUGUGAAGAAAUUCUGGUCCCUACAUGCGAUGACUUUUCUAUUGACAUGUGUGAUGGUUUAUUUGACACAAAGGAGGAUGAGCAAUACCCGGUUUACAGCAUAGAUGAUGAUGUUGACAUGGACUAUAUCUUCAACCAUAUGGACUACACUAUUAAGAUUGACCAUGAGAUAGAUAUGGAGAUGGCAUGGUGUGAUGACGCACUCGCAAACAUUGAAUCUGGAUCAUCGCCAUUGGUGACAGUGGCAGGUCCAGCAGAAAUCAAGACUGUCCAGGUGAAGGAGGAGAUGAAUCUAGUUGAGCUGGUCACACGUACAGAGACUUGA
This 1266-nucleotide ribosomal RNA is filed under the name Triticum aestivum (bread wheat). Its description in RNAcentral is "partial small subunit ribosomal RNA". The record is from RNAcentral. Lineage: Eukaryota; Viridiplantae; Streptophyta; Magnoliopsida; Poales; Poaceae.